RNAcentral lists this unclassified non-coding RNA (577 nucleotides) under Hevea brasiliensis (rubber tree). The record is from RNAcentral. Lineage: Eukaryota; Viridiplantae; Streptophyta; Magnoliopsida; Malpighiales; Euphorbiaceae.
GCACUCAACUCCAUACGUAAAUUAAGAGCGAGCAUAACAUACAGGAACACGCCUCUGGAUGGGGGUUCUACAUGAAGGGCAAUCCUUCAUUCCUUGUUUCUCAUGGAGCUCAUUACAUGUUGUGCAAACCACUUGAUGGGCACAUGGGAGGAAAACCACUGACAUCUCUUCUGAAAGGCACAUCACACAUUCUCUCUCCCGUUUCACACUUCCUAUGACAGAGUAUUCAUGAAAAUCUGCUGCUUCCAUUACUGAGUAAUAAGGAGUUGGGAACUCCUUUUGUGCAGUGCUAUUCUUAGCAUCUGUGAGUCUGCUAGCAUAGCUUUCACUGAUACCCCUUCGAAGGGCUGCAAUUUUUGAUGCGUCCGUCUUCAAUGUCAAUUGGUAGAUCUCUUUUUCAAGCCCCUGAAUAUCAUCCUUGUAUUUCUGCAAAUUAGUUUCAGCUUUCAAUUUCAUCACAUCCUCUUUAGAUUUAGCUGAAGUCUCAAUUUGUUCUCUUUCUUUUCUUAUUGAACUAGCCUGCAAAACUAGUUCUUCCUUCAACUUCUCUUCUUGUUGCCAUCUAGCCUCAUGUUGU